AUGCCAAGCUUUAAAUCUGAGCCGCCGUCUCCAUUUCAUUUCGUCCAUGUUUCGAUCUGCUGGGCUCAGGCACUUGGAAUUCUUUGCCACCUGAUAAUUAGUGAAGGUAGUAUAUCUCUGGAUCGUAAUUGGAAUGCCAACUCUUCUAACAGCUGGAGAAUUGCCACCGCACCUAAAAAACAAGAGUUUCAAUUGUAUAAAGAAAUCCAUGUAUGUGUGACAGAACCUUUACACGAGGAGGGCAACAGCAUCGACAUGGCGAUCGAGUCACUCCUGAAUGCGGAGAAGCAAUGUUGCCUAGCUGGCGAUGUGGCCAGCACUAGGAAGGACAUCGUCGAGCUCUCCUUCAAGGAUGGCGCCUGGAAGACGCUUAACUACCAGAUCGUUCUCCUCUCUAAGAGGAGGAGGGGCCAGCUCAAGUAG
Molecule: ribosomal RNA, 423 nt
Filed under: Triticum aestivum (bread wheat)
Lineage: Eukaryota; Viridiplantae; Streptophyta; Magnoliopsida; Poales; Poaceae
Description: partial small subunit ribosomal RNA
Source: RNAcentral